Molecule: ribosomal RNA, 426 nt
Filed under: uncultured bacterium
Lineage: Bacteria
Description: bacterial SSU rRNA
Rfam family: Bacterial small subunit ribosomal RNA
Source: RNAcentral
GAAUUGUUCGCAAUGGGCGCAAGCCUGACGACGCAACGCCGCGUGGAGGAUGAAGGUCUUCGGAUUGUAAACUCCUGUUGAUCGGGAAGAAUGGACCCCGGGUGAAUACGCCGGGGUAUUGACGGUACCGAUUGAGGAAGCCACGGCUAACUCUGGUCCAGCAGCCGCGGUAAUACAGAGGUGGCAAGCGUUGUUCGGAAUUACUGGGCGUAAAGGGCGCGUAGGCGGUUGCCUAAGUCGGACGUGAAAUCCCCAAGCUUAACUUGGGAACUGCGUCCGAUACUGGGUGACUUGAGUUCGGGAGAGGAAUGUGGAAUUCCAGGUGUAGCGGUGAAAUGCGUAGAUAUCUGGAGGAACACCGGUGGCGAAGGCGGCAUUCUGGACCGAAACUGACGCUGAGGCGCGAAAGCCAGGGGAGCAAACGGG